This 829-nucleotide ribosomal RNA is filed under the name uncultured fungus. Its description in RNAcentral is "SSU rRNA". It matches the Rfam family "Eukaryotic small subunit ribosomal RNA", at positions 564 to 1419 of the family's 1831-position model. The record is from RNAcentral. Lineage: Eukaryota; Fungi.
GUGCCAGCAGCCGCGGUAAUUCCAGCUCCAAUAGCGUAUAUUAAAGUUGUUGUGGUUAAAAAGCUCGUAGUUGAACCUUGGGCCUGGCUGGCCGGUCCGCCUCACCGCGUGCACUGGUCCGGCCGGGCCUUUCCCUCUGUGGAACCCCAUACCCUUCACUGGGCGUGGCGGGGAAACAGGACAUUUACUUUGAAAAAAUUAGAGUGCUCCAGGCAGGCCUAUGCUCGAAUACAUUAGCAUGGAAUAAUAAAAUAGGACGCGCGGUUCUAUUUUGUUGGUUUAUAGGACCGCCGUAAUGAUUAAUAGGGACAGUCGGGGGCAUCAGUAUUCAACUGUCAGAGGUGAAAUUCUUGGAUCAGUUGAAGACUAACUACUGCGAAAGCAUUUGCCAAGGAUGUUUUCAUUAAUCAGGAACGAAAGUUAGGGGAUCGAAGACGAUCAGAUACCGUCGUAGUCUUAACCAUAAACUAUGCCGACUAGGGAUCGGACGGUGUUAUUCAUGACCCGUUCGGCACCUUACGAGAAAUCAAAGUGCUUGGGCUCCAGGGGGAGUAUGGUCGCAAGGCUGAAACUUAAAGAAAUUGACGGAAGGGCACCACCAGGGGUGGAGCCUGCGGCUUAAUUUGACUCAACACGGGGAAACUCACCAGGUCCAGACACAAUAAGGGAUUGACAGAUUGAGAGCUCUUUCUUGAUUUUGUGGGUGGUGGUGCAUGGGCCGUUCUUAGUUGGUGGGGUGACUUGUCUGCUUAAUUGCGAUAACGAACGAGACCUUAACCUGCUAAAUAGCCCGCAUUGCUCCGGCAGUGCGCUGGCUUUCUUAGAAGGG